Molecule: long non-coding RNA, 348 nt
Filed under: Malus domestica (apple)
Lineage: Eukaryota; Viridiplantae; Streptophyta; Magnoliopsida; Rosales; Rosaceae
Description: long non-coding RNA (MDOM_LNC019758)
Source: RNAcentral
CAGAAAACAAUUGUAGGGGAAGUGAUUAUUGUGUGUGUGUGUACCAAAGUCCUUAAUAAGGCACGGGUCGAAAAAAAAAAAAAAAAAAAAAAGAAAGAAAAGUUGUGAAAAUGUAUGAAAAAGAGUUCUAAAGUGUUGUUUGUUGAAAAAGGGUCCAAAACAUUGAAUUCGGCCCUAAGUGUUGCUUAAAUCUUCCAUUUGUGUUAAAAGUUGAUUUCUGCAUUCUAAAGUGAAUUCUUAGUUUCGAUUUCAUUACUUUGCUUGCUAUUGCUUUAAGAACGUUUGUUAUCCCUAUCUUUCCUUUGUUAACCAUUACCCCAAGCCCCGUUACAACCCUUGACUUCUAUC